GAGGAAAGAGAGAAAAAUGGAGUGAGAGAUGGUGAAAACACAAGAGAUGGAGAGACAGAAGAAGGGUGGUGAAGCGAGGGGUGGGAGGCGGACAGGAUGAAGGGAAGGUGAGUGAACGAUAAUAGCACCACAGCUUUACAGCUAACGGAAAAAUGGAAUACAUCGGAAAGUGUGAUCUCUCAGUUUGAUAACAAAUCUUUCAGUUUGCCACAGAGAGCAAUUUGAUAACAAUCAACUGAUUUGUUUUUAUGAUAGAAGGGUAAAUGGAGAAGGUUUCAGCCAUGAUUAACUCAAAAUGUAAGGUAUAUUUCUCUCCACAGAAACAGUCAGAUCUACUGAGUUUAGUUCAUUUUUUUAUUUCGGAUUUCCAGCAUCUGCUGUAUUUUGCUUCUGAAGUUUUUGAAUGUUACUUGAAAAACAAUGGUCUGGAAAUAAUUCCCCAGCUCUUCAAAUAGUGUAUAGGAUCUUUUAUGAGAGGGCAACGGUGGGCGUCGGUUUUAAAGUUUCAUUGGAAAGUCGAUGGUGCAACACUCCUGCAGUACUUCAGUAGAGUGUCAGCCAGGAUUUCUGCCAAGUCUGCAAUGAGACGUGAAUUCUAACUCCGAGGUGAGAGAGCAACUAACUGAACCCCAACUGAUGGAGAUUGGCAUGAUGGAAUGGAAGGGCGGAAUAAGCGAGUGCAAUGAGUGUUUGGGGAGAACAAACAACGAGAUGUGGCAAGACGAUUUGGUUGUGAAUGGAUCCAGUGUUCUGUCACUCGGCAGCCUGUGGGCUUGUUUAAUUGGUAGUGGUGGUUGAUACCUUUGUUUCUGUCUCACUUAAAAACUGGAGAAUUGCAGCAAGAGUAACCGGAUGCCACAUCCCUGUUAUUAAUCAAAAGUCAAAAAUCUGCAUAGUGUCUGCUAAUCAGCCUAGAAAAGGUACAAAUAUUGCCUGUGGAAGUGAGGUUUUUGUUUGGGACCUGGAUGCGCUGGUUAUAACAGUAAAUGAUCGGAUCAUGCGGAUUGCAAGUGACAGUGAGAGGUGUCAGCAUUAAGUUGCAGGAGCCGCCUCUCUUUCAUACAGAUGAUCGAUAUUUCACACAUGGAACAAUGAAACAAGUGAGGACAAAGCUCGUGUAAUUUCACUGUGUGAGUGUACACAGUACAAAGUUCCAAUUGCUGAAAACGCUAUAUUCGAGUCCAGAAGCCAGUGAAGCCACUGCCCUGACACUGGAUUUCUUUUCAAAGAACUGAAAUGUACUUUGAUGUCUGAUCAUUGGGAUCGUUUAACGUCUCGUUUCUCAACUGAUGUUUCAAGCAUGUCGUGAAGGUGUAUCCUGAAAGGAGCAACAACUGGGCAUGCCACUUACGGAGCUGGGUGCAAGGGACAACAUUGCAUGUGGUCAAAGCUUCAUCUUUAUCCUUGUGCAAUGUGCUCCUGGAUGCAGGCUGAUGGAUAGCAGAGUGAAGCAACAGGGUUGCAUAAAAGGAAGAUUUUACUGUGUGCAUCCACAGUUGCAGAUGAACUGGCACCAUGCAGUGUACUAAAUGAGAUUCGGCAAGCAACAAGUAGUUGAUCGGUCUCUGGAGUGAUGAACAGUUGUCGAUGACACAGACCUUCUGCCUGCCAACAACUAUGUGAUUGAUUCCCAGGUAGCUGAUCAGAUUCUAGGUGUAAACAAAAUGGCAAGAAGCCUUCGGACCAACAUCCCCUUUAGGCUGCAUAGCUGCACAUACAUGCAACUGCUCCAAGGUGCCAUGCACAGUGACAGGCUUUGGCAUGCCGAUCAUUGUACUGACUUUCAAUUCUAGAAACUGCUGACACGCAUGAGCCUCAGAGCUCCACACAACUAGAAAGAAGAUUAAAGGAAACUCUGCUUGAGACCUCCAAAAGGAUAACCAGUACACUUAUAUAAAGCACAAUAAAUGGAAGGGUUGUGAAGAACCCAAAACUUCAGAAGGAUUUAAGUGACCCUUGAUUUCUGAGCAGAGUUAACUUGUGGCUCCAAAUUUGGCUGAAGGUAAUAAAAAUUUUUUUGUAUUGGAUUCUGCUGCAGCACAACUUUGAGUCAAGAGUUCCAGUAAUUACAAUGGCCCACAAACUUCCCACUGAAAAUUCCCAAGUCCAUUACCAGGAUAUAGCUAUGAGUGGAUGUAUAUAAUGUCUUCAUUAAUAUAAAGACCUAUUUAACACCUUCUUAGGCCUCAGGAGUAUCAAAACUUUUCACAUAAUUUACCUUAAAAAUAUAAUUUUGUUGGUCAGGCAGACAUACCAAACAAGUUGCAUGCAAGAAGAUCCCAGAAAUAGCAAUGAACUUAAUAGCUUUUGAAUCUGUUUUUUGUCAUUUGUUUUUAGGGAAGUAAAUUGGUCCACUCUUCGAAUAGUGCAAUGGAUCUUGAUUGCCUACCCAGAUAGGCAGACAAGACUUUGGUUUAAUGUCUCUUCUAAAGGUCAAGAAAUUAAACUGUGAUCCUACCUUACUGUUCAAUUAACAGGUUACAAAAGUGCCCAAUUUUACAAAUUGAAACCUUGCCAGUUUGUACUGGAGAUGAGGUGGAAAUGUUCCCAUUUGUUCUAGCACCAGUGUUAACAGCUGAACUUUCUAACACAAAGCCAUGUUGUUGAUUAUUUUUUGGGCCAGUGAUAGGAUAUUUUUUCAUGAAAAUAUUGCUGUUAAGACUUGCCCAUUGUGUGAACAAUAACAAAUCUCUGUGCCUGCUAGCUCGAAUUACAAUUCAAACAUUCUUCGUCAUGGUACACUUUUAACAGCAGUGACAGUAAAGAAAGUGCAAAUUUAAAUAUUCUUCCCAGUUAACAAAUAUAAAUGUAUACCUGAGUGGCAAUUGUCUAACCAAACACUUUUUAACAAGUAUCAAAUGGUCCAAAAGUAUCAAAAAUGCCUUCACUGUCAAUUUCCCCUUAAAAAGUUUUUGAUAGUUCCUCCUAAAUUUUGUGAUCAGCUGAAAGUUUAGUCAGAAGGUUGCAGCCAUGCCUUUGGUCUGCUGGCCAUGCAAUUAUUUCUGGUGUUAGUCACUUUUUACGAUAUGAAUGAACUCCUUUACUGAGUCUGAAGUCAGAAAUCAGGAUUUAAAGGCUUGCAGCAGCUUAAAGGGCAGACAUGGUUUGGAUAUUGACCAGCUUCUUCAGAGAAACGAGGAAGGGAGGUUCAUAUACUUGGUCAGGUAGAGCACAAUAUGGGGGGGGCGGGGUGAGUUAGAAAGGAGCAGGAUAAUUACCUUCUGCCUGCAAUUUCAAUUGGAGAACAACACCAAAAUAUAUAGUUAGAACAUGAUGAAAUUGAGAAUUUGAUUGUCAUAUAUCCAUAGGUCUGAGUGGAAAACUGACUACAAGUUUGAUGAUAGGCCGAAGCCAGGUGGAGAAUCAAUUUAUUACUACUAAUUGGCUUUUUUUUUCUCCAUCCCUCAAAUGAAGUAUACGCUCCUUCUCUAUAUGUUUGGACUCUCCCCUUCUUUCCAAAAAAGUUGACCGCCCCAGAACACUCCUUUACUUGGGACCAGGCAACAACCCCUGAAGCAAAAUCAGAAAUUGCUGGAGAAACUCAUCAGGUCUGGCAGCAUCUGAGGAGAGAAAGCAGAGUUAAUGGUUCAGGUCAAGUGAGCAUUCUUCAGAACUAGAUAGUAGCUAGGAAAAGGUGGAAUAUGUGCUAAAGACAUGAUGGGCGUGAGACACAGUAAACAAUAGGUGGAAACAGAGCCGAGACGGAAAGAAAGACAGGCAAAUGAAGACUAGAUAAUAGUAAGCCAGAGAGAGACAAAAAAACUGAUACUGACAAGACCUGGAGUGUGGGUGUAGAAAAAGGACGAAAGGUUGCUAACGCCCUAAAAUUAUUAUUCAAUUUUGAGUCCUGAAAGCUGCAAGGUCCCCAAGUGAAAAAUGAGGUGCUGUUUUUCCAGCGUGUGCUAAGUUUCACUGGAGCACUGCAGCAGACCCACUACAGAGAUGCUGCCCAGGGAACACAAUGGGGUGUUGAAGUAACGUAGGUGUUCUGCCAAGUGGCCACACGGUCUGCAUUUCAUCUCCUCUGUGUAGAUGAGACCACACUGUGAGCAGUGAACACCAUAGACUCGAUUAAGUAAAGUGCACGUAAUCACUGCUUCCCCUCAAAGGUUUGUCUGGAGCCUUUGAUAGUGAGGAGGGAGGAAAUAAAUGGGCAGGUAUUACACAUUCUGUGAUUUUAUUUUAUUAACAUCUAUGACAGCACUGAUUUUGAGGGAUGGGUAACUGUUUUCUGAGAUUUCCUGGACAAUUUUGAUUUUGAAAGUGGCCAAAGGCUUGUUAAUGAGUUCCAGAUAUCAAUGGAAGCUGGACUUCCUGCUGUUGCUCCUUGAUGAGCUAUCUGUUUACAUGGCUGUUCUUCAGCCUGGGGUUUGUAAGCAAGGACAGUUGCAUAUGUCUUGAAAGGGGCCUCUGAAAUGGGAUCUCAGUGCAAAAAAAUUUUUGAAGCACUGACUUAGGGCCCCAGUCUGCAAGCCAGGAUCAUUUGAAAAUCUCAUUGUUCAGCAACACUCCCCAGGACCUUACUCUGUAAAAGCAAUUCCUGGACAAUUACUGCAAAAGGUUUUGAUAACAAGCAUAAUGGGGUAAAAAUAUGAGAAACUUGGUGAAACUGCACAGUCCUCUCAUACUGCUGUUAGUUGCCAAUAUGAAGGAGAUUUAAUCACUUGCUUGAGCAAACAAAGCAAUUAUUCACUUGCUUUGAAUAACUAUAUUCACCUGUUUACCUUAUGUUACAGACGUUUCCAGUGGUAACAGGUAAUCAAUUUGCAGCAUAAAGGCUAAGGGCCACUGUUACCUUGACAGUAAGUGCCUAUGUAAGUGUUUGACUGCAGGAAGAAAACAUCCUCCUAUAGGGCAGUAAGAUGCAGGACAAGUGGAGGGCUGCUCGACGUUCAGCUCCUCACCCCUUAUGUGGGUCGCACAUAGCAGUGUCUUGGAGAUUGAUCGUCAAUUCCUGGAAACUCCAGGCCAACUCUAUGAGUUGACAACCCUGAUACUACCUUUUCUCCUCCCUACUAUAUGACCACCUUUACCUCUCAUUUCAAUGUCUGAUUCAUCCUUAAUUCCCCUUCCUCCAGCUAUUUAUCUUACCUUUCACUUCAGCUAUUCCCUGACAUUCAUUAGUGAACUGCCUGGAGGUGUCCAGAAUAUGCCCACAGGUCAUUUAAAUUUGAUAUGAAUUCUAAUAUUGCAAGCUCCUCAAUUCUACUUCUAAGUGCAAGGAUUGCUCUUUCUACCCAUAGGUCAGUUGAAAUAAAGUUGUAAGCUAUAGCCUCGUAAUUUCAUCUGAAUGAAUGGGAUCCACAGAUUACUCACUUGAGAAUAGUACCUCUUUAGAUCUAACCAGAAAAACAUGGAGGAAGUAAGUGCACAUGUUGUAAGGGUGCCCCUGGUUAUAGACUGUUGCAUCACAUGGAGCUUACCAUUGUAUCAUGGUCAUGGCCUGCAACCCAGUGAUCUAUGCACAUAUAGUUGCAAUUCUGGUUUAAGAGGUCAGCCAAGUGGACCUCACAGAAUAUGUGUUCUCUGAUUGUGGCUGUUAACCUGGUCCAAUCAGGCAGCCCAG
Molecule: non-coding RNA, 5566 nt
Organism: Chiloscyllium plagiosum (whitespotted bambooshark)
Lineage: Eukaryota; Metazoa; Chordata; Chondrichthyes; Orectolobiformes; Hemiscylliidae
Source: RefSeq, a predicted model, not a curated record